GACCUGAUGGCGUCGCUGGUGCGGCGGUCGGUCCGCAAAACCGAAUCCCGGAAACGGGCAAAGGGUUCAAUUCCCUGUCAGGUCU
RNAcentral lists this transfer RNA (85 nucleotides) under Asanoa ishikariensis. RNAcentral's name for it is "tRNA_Cys_GCA". It matches the Rfam family "Selenocysteine transfer RNA". Lineage: Bacteria; Bacillati; Actinomycetota; Actinomycetes; Micromonosporales; Micromonosporaceae. The record is from RNAcentral.